GUCCUCAUCCGCUAGAGGCCCAGGCACCUUGGUUCUCACCCAAGAAACGCGGGUUCGAAUCCCGCUGAGGACG
RNAcentral lists this transfer RNA (73 nucleotides) under Polyangiaceae bacterium. RNAcentral describes it as "tRNA-Glu". It matches the Rfam family "tRNA". Rfam says of the family: Transfer RNA (tRNA) molecules are approximately 80 nucleotides in length. The record is from RNAcentral. Lineage: Bacteria; Pseudomonadati; Myxococcota; Polyangiales; Polyangiaceae.